RNAcentral lists this ribosomal RNA (107 nucleotides) under uncultured eukaryote. RNAcentral describes it as "partial small subunit ribosomal RNA". The record is from RNAcentral.
UCGCUCCUACUGAUUGAGUGGUCCGCUAAAUAAUUUGGACUGCAACAAUGCUCGUUCAGGGCGCUGCUGCAAAAAGGAUGGUGAAGCUUAUCACUUAGAGGAAGGAG